AGCACGGUAUGAAGUUCCUACA
RNAcentral lists this microRNA (22 nucleotides) under Tribolium castaneum (red flour beetle). RNAcentral describes it as "Tca-Mir-276-as_5p* (star (passenger))". Lineage: Eukaryota; Metazoa; Arthropoda; Insecta; Coleoptera; Tenebrionidae. The record is from RNAcentral.